CAGUCGCCGCGGGAAUACGAAGGGGGCUAGCGUUGCUCGGAAUGACUGGGCGUAAAGGGCGCGUAGGCGGCGAUCAAAGUCAGGCGUGAAAUUCCUGGGCUCAACCUGGGGGCUGCGUUUGAUACUUGAUUGCUAGAGUGGGGAAGAGGGUCGUGGAAUUCCCAGUGUAGAGGUGAAAUUCGUAGAUAUUGGGAAGAACACCGAUGGCGAAGGCAGCCCCCUGGGCCAAUACUGACGCUCAUGCACGAAAGCGUGGGGAGCAAACAGGAUUAGAUACCCCGGUAGUCCCUGUCUCUUAUCC
Molecule: ribosomal RNA, 301 nt
Filed under: uncultured bacterium
Lineage: Bacteria
Description: partial 16S ribosomal RNA
Rfam family: Bacterial small subunit ribosomal RNA
Source: RNAcentral